Pistacia vera is the source of this 326-nucleotide long non-coding RNA. RefSeq lists it as uncharacterized. NCBI's taxonomy places the organism in Eukaryota, Viridiplantae, Streptophyta, Magnoliopsida, Sapindales, Anacardiaceae. The transcript is spliced from 3 exons. The record is from RefSeq and is a predicted model, not a curated record.
CAAAUAAGGAAGAGGAACAAGGGGAGAUGAUGGUACAGUAAGUUGGCAAUGAUGCUUUGAAAAUCAAUGGACAGACAUUCACAUUUGAUUCAGUUGCUGACAUUGAUUCGACAUAGCUGGAUGUUUUCCAGCUUGUUGGACUCGCUCUCAUUGAAAAUUGUUUUGCUGGAUUUAACAGUUCAGUGUUUGCCUAUGGGCAGACAGGGAGUGGAAAGACUUAUACCAUGUGGGGACCAGCUAACGCCUUGUUGGAAGAAAACUUAUCAAGUGAUCAACAAGGCUUAACUCCCUAUAUUUUUGAGCGACUCUUUUCCCGCAUAAAUGAG